RNAcentral lists this ribosomal RNA (450 nucleotides) under Triticum aestivum (bread wheat). Its description in RNAcentral is "partial small subunit ribosomal RNA". The record is from RNAcentral. Lineage: Eukaryota; Viridiplantae; Streptophyta; Magnoliopsida; Poales; Poaceae.
AUGGGCGUCGAAUCGGCGCAGCCAACCCCCGCCGCCACCGCCGAGCAGGCCCAGGAUCUCAUCGACGCCGCGAGGUACGACGAGCUGGAAGACGUCGUCGCCCUCUUCUCCGCCGGUGUCCCCCUCGACUCCGCAGAUUCGCAAGGCCGGACGGCUCUUCAUAUGGCUUCUGCCAAUGGGCAUCUUGCUGUGGUGGAGUACUUGAUUCAAAAUGGAGCGAAUGUUAACUCUACAAACUUGGAGAAGAACACGCCUCUCCACUGGGCAUGCCUCAAUGGACAUACAGAGGUAAUCAAGGCUUUGAUAUGUGCUGGGGCUAUCGUAAGUGUACUGAACAGCCAUGAGAAAACCCCUAUGGAUGAGGCACUGACUCUCGGAAAGAUGGAAGUGGUCGAUGCAAUCGGUGCAGCAGUAGCUCAAGCAGAGCUCAAUGGUGUUACUGUCUCCUAA